CCUCCACCUCCACUCUCCACCGCUCAUGUUGAAGCCAUUUCUCUUUACGAAGGUACCGUAUGGCACGAGCGUCGCCGCCCCAUCCGCCAUUCUUUCCGGUACUCCGUCCGCUACACUCUUUUCGACCUCGGUCACGCUCCCAACACGCCACCUAACCACCUCUCCGCCGACGAGGCUCGUAGGUUUGCCAAAACUGACGGCCCUGUUUUUCUGCUAACAAUUCCUCCAAGCGUGGGGUACGAACAUAAUCCAUUGAGCAUAUAUUAUUGCAAUGAUUUGGAGGG
Molecule: long non-coding RNA, 284 nt
Organism: Hibiscus syriacus
Lineage: Eukaryota; Viridiplantae; Streptophyta; Magnoliopsida; Malvales; Malvaceae
Exons: 2
Source: RefSeq, a predicted model, not a curated record